UCUUUCUUUUCCUUCUCUCAUCUCAUUUUCUCUCUACCCCUUUCUCACAGAAUGAUGUCAAAAGCAAGCUUUAGGAACAAUGAAAAAGAGGAGAGUUUUACGGAAAGCAAUUACACUCAAAAUGGCUGAAAGUUGCUGGAAAAUGCCAACAGACAGACCAAUUUAUACCUACUCACAGUCACCAGGGGCUGGCCUAGGAUCUGCUUUAUGGCUUAACACAAACACCUCACUAAGACAAAGGCCUUUUGUGUAAUUACCAGCACAUGGGUCAGCCAGAACUCUCCACAUAGAAAAGUACAUACGGACCUACCACAGAGAGACCAAAAGAGAUGGAGAGGGUGGCAACGAAGAACCGGUUGGAGAACAAGGGUCACUGAGGGGGUCACAGAAGUACUUGAGAUUCCUGCCUCACUGUUUCCCACCCUACCGUUCAUCCUUUAUUUUUCAUCAAGCACAACAUCAGGCAUUAACUCUCUAACCCACAAACUUUUAAAUGCACUGUUUUGCUGCUGUAAAGACAAAAGGAGAUUUACUUGGCUGUGUGACUGAGUAGAAAAUAUAGGAAAAGAGAAACUUUUUGCCUUAGAUAAGCACUUUCUCACUUCCUCUCUGUUUUUUUUUUUUUUUAAUUCACAAUAAAUGAGAACAGAACUACUGUGUAUAUAUCAUGAUUAUAAACACAGGUAAAGGAUAUGACUCCUUAAGACAGGUCGAAACAAAGAGUGGGGAUUUAUUUUCAAAUAUUGUGCUAUUUUAGUUCCCAAAACACCACCAAUAUUCUCAUUUUAAAGAUCAACUAAUAGUUAUGUUAAAGAAUAAUAUAAAUGGACCAUUAUUCAGUGUUUUUCAGGGACCAGUUUUUAAACAUUCCUAUCUGAUCCCUGUUUAUUUACACAGACUGCGCUUAUGUACGUAUAUAAAUGCAUGAAGUAAAUAUUGAGUAUUGUAAAAAUGAGUAAUAAUGUCAUUUAAUAGAAAGUUUUUGUGUGGUAAAAAGCACAUCAUACUCUGGCUACAGACAAAACAAGUUAAGAUCAAUUUAUGAAUUUGUUUACUGCAUUUUACUAAUUAGAAACUCAAGACUUCACAUUGGUUAUUUCAGCAGCAUGAAAAACAAAA
This is a long non-coding RNA of Cyprinus carpio (common carp), 1119 nucleotides long. RefSeq lists it as uncharacterized. Lineage: Eukaryota; Metazoa; Chordata; Actinopteri; Cypriniformes; Cyprinidae. The record is from RefSeq and is a predicted model, not a curated record.